UCGGAGAAACAAGAACCGUAAUAAACGUCACAAUGCGGCGACUAUGGGAUAUUGCGGGACACACAGUUAUAGGGAACGAUAAGAGGUUAGGUUAGGUUAGGUUAUCCCUGCAACAAUCGAAGAUUCGAUUUAACGACGAAUACCACCAGGAAGACAAAGAAAUGCAUACGCGUCUCAACUGAAAACAGAAGAUACAGUGUCCUUAAAAUAUUCUUC
Non-coding RNA from Cinara cedri, 216 nucleotides. Lineage: Eukaryota; Metazoa; Arthropoda; Insecta; Hemiptera; Aphididae. The record is from the annotation of a GenBank genome assembly.